AAGUAUUGUGAAGGUCUAUUUCUAAAUUAUAAUGAGAAGCUUAAAAAAUUCGUAUUUAUCUGUCCCAAAUAGUAAUUACUGCUGUUCAGCAUCAGCCUAGAGCUUCAUAUAUACCUGUGAAAUUCCUUCCGAGGAAAACUUGACUUACCCCAAUCCCAAACACAUAAGUAAAAGAAGCUAGCUAACAUCCAUCAUAUCUGCUAGACACAUCACAAGUGCCAGGUGUAGGAGGCAUCAAGAAAGGUCUUGAGACAAUAGCGUGUCAUGCAUUUCCAACAUAUCACUCGAUCACCUACUUGACUACACUUCAGACCUCAUCCUCAAUUGACUUGUCCAGGGUAUACAUGAACAGAGCAUACCACAUCUACUGCCUGCAUGCACAGAACAUCAUUCUUGCCUCACCUUGAGUCGAAGUACCAGUAGUGGGUUUGUGUUGUGUACUGCUUGCGCUAACAUGGAGAGAGCAACAUGUUACAGUCGAGUUGGUACUGACGGUUCACUGGUACCUGAAUGUUACAGUCGAGUUGGUACUGCAGACCAUGGAUCAGUACUUUUACCUAGCUGGUUUGAUAUGGAUAAUGGAUGCAAAAGCAAUACUAUCUACUCCCUCCGUCCCGUUAUUAUAUUUGACAUUUCCGACCAGAUCGUGAAAAUUAAGGAACGUGUGAAAUUACAUAUUUGCCCCUGGGCCUUCUCCUCUCAACACGUGAGUCGCCGCUGUGACGGAAGAAAGAGGCGGAAACGCCGCCACCCCCCAACGCCGGAAACGCCGGCCGCUACGCCAGCCGCCGGGGCUCACCUCAAGAUGCCGCCGCCACCCGUACUUGCUGGAACCGUCGCCGCCACCCCUCCUUGCCGGAGCCGCCGGCGCUCUCUCCCGACGCUGCUGCUCAUAAUUGGGCACCCCAGGCCUGAGACCCAGCAGAAUUUUUAGAUAAAAUUUUACAACACUCGUAGUUCAGGCAUGCUGCAGCUGCUGCAUCUGCCAAAUUGUGCUUAUCCUGUGUAAGAAAUAGCUAUAGAUUGACUCGGCCGGGCAGUAGUACACUAGUUUAUCAAAUUUCAACGUCCAAUCUUCUGGGAAAAGAAGAUUCAGACCAUCUUUGCCAGAAGAAGUGUAUUCAUCAUCUAAUGCAACAGGACAGUAACUCCUGAGCUAUGCAAACAGGUGAGUUAUAUAAUGCUCAGACAGACAAAGAUCAUCUUAUGUUGAAUUUGGCUCAGUAAUUUUUAGUGGGCAGAUAUGCUCGGACAGACAAAGAAAGGCUGACAGUGUCUUCAGACUUGUUCAGUUGCAGUUCAACUGGAAGAGUAUGUACUGAGUGUACUCAGUUCUUGAGUUUCAUUUUAUUUACAAAAUCUGGAUUAAUCCUUCAGUAGAAACCCUGUUUGCCGCUGGGCUGCUUGAACCUUCUUGGCUUCAUCUCCUAGUAGAGCAAUAUUUUGUGCAUCAUUGCUGUGAGGUGAUAAUAGGACUGAAAAGUGACAAUAUGGUCAGAUUUUGUGAGGUGAUAAUAGGCUUGAAAAGUGAAAAUAUGGUCAGAUUUUGUGGAUGUUGAAAUUCAGAUUUUGUGAUAAUGUAGGAGAGGAAGAAUCCAAGAGCAAUUAGGAUGUGACUUUCAGACCUACAUUCAGAUUUUGUAAAUGUACUGUUCAUUUUUAAAUCUUGAAUUACUUUAGUUUUUUUGUCCUCUUAGCAGAAUUUAUGACAGAUCUUAUGAAUUCAGCAUUUCACUGUGAAUUCGCAUGACAGUAGCAGCAUUCCUUGCUAAAACCUUAGGUUGCAGCUUCAUCAAAGCAAACAACUACCAUUCUCAGGCAAACAAAGGUCUGAAGAACUCAUUAUCUCACAACCAACCUACAUUUCCUUUUGUCAUUUCUGAAC
Molecule: long non-coding RNA, 1885 nt
Organism: Oryza sativa Japonica Group (Japanese rice)
Lineage: Eukaryota; Viridiplantae; Streptophyta; Magnoliopsida; Poales; Poaceae
Source: RefSeq, a predicted model, not a curated record